UAAGUUGGUAGUGAAAUCCUGGGGCUCAACCCUUUAAACAUUAUCAAAACUGCUUAGCUAGAGGACGAGAGAGGUCACUGGAAUUCCUAGUGUAGGAGUGAAAUCCGUAGAUAUUAGGAGGAACACCGAUGGCGUAGGCAGGUGACUGGCUUGUUCCUGACACUAAGGCACGAAAGCGUGGGGAGCGAACGGGAUUAGAUACCCCGGUAGUCCACGCCGUAAACGAUGGAUGCUA
This 235-nucleotide ribosomal RNA is filed under the name uncultured Candidatus Saccharibacteria bacterium. Its description in RNAcentral is "partial 16S ribosomal RNA". It matches the Rfam family "Bacterial small subunit ribosomal RNA", at positions 584 to 818 of the family's 1533-position model. Lineage: Bacteria; Candidatus Saccharimonadota. The record is from RNAcentral.